GUGGGGAAUAUUGGACAAUGGGCGAAAGCCUGAUCCAGCCAUGCCGCGUGUGUGAAGAAGGUCUUCGGAUUGUAAAGCACUUUAAGUUGGGAGGAAGGGCAGUAAGUUAAUACCUUGCUGUUUUGACGUUACCGACAGAAUAAGCACCGGCUAACUUCGUGCCAGCAGCCGCGGUAAUACGAAGGGUGCAAGCGUUAAUCGGAAUUACUGGGCGUAACGCGCGCGUAGGUGGUUUUGUAAGUUGGAGGUGAAAUCCCCGGGCGCAACCUGGGAACUGCCUCCAAAACUGCAUGACUAGAGUACGGUAGAGGGUAGUGGAAUUUCCUGUGUAGCGGUGAAAUGCGUAGAUAUAGGAAGGAACACCAGUGGCGAAGGCGACUACCUGGACUGAUACUGACACUGAGGUGCGAAAGCGUGGGGAGCAAACAGGAUUAGAAACCCUGGUAGUCC
RNAcentral lists this ribosomal RNA (450 nucleotides) under uncultured bacterium. RNAcentral's name for it is "partial 16S ribosomal RNA". It matches the Rfam family "Bacterial small subunit ribosomal RNA", at positions 354 to 796 of the family's 1533-position model. The record is from RNAcentral.